Molecule: long non-coding RNA, 1462 nt
Organism: Lolium rigidum
Lineage: Eukaryota; Viridiplantae; Streptophyta; Magnoliopsida; Poales; Poaceae
Exons: 3
Source: RefSeq, a predicted model, not a curated record
UACGCACGGUUGCCGGUUGUGGGCACGGUGGUGCUCUACCUCUGCUCCAUCGUCACCUCCCUCACCACAUCUCCUCCGCUACUAUCGUCGUGUGAUGGUGAAUUUCCCCUUCCUCUUCCCCUCCUUUGUUCCAAUUUAGGAUGUGUUAAUGUGAUGUUGUUAAAUGAGAUCAUAUGCUGUUGUUAAGUGAAUUCAUCUGGUGUUGAUUGUUUGUUGUUAUAACCUAUGGUUCCUAUUACCAACUCAAAUAUAUGCCAAUUAUAUGUUAGUGUUUCAGACAAUUUAUAGACAUGCAAUGUGUUUGCCAAUGUUGCAAUGCUACGUUAUUUGAGAAUUGAUACAUCUGUAUAUCACAUUUCAUCCGUGAUCAUCGACCCUUUAGUACCCUAAUGAAUGUUCUGUUUAAUUUGCGAAAUAUUUUCUGAACUCCAUUCCAAACAUGUGUUCCUGAUGACAUUCGUUGUCAAGGAGAAUUGGCUCAAAGUGACCAUCUAAACCUUGAUCGAUCUGUUUUGGGCUACUGGUGACCGCCGCCUCCCCGCAGCCCACGGCAAAGAAGAUCAUGGCCUUGGAUGACAAAGAUGGUAACCUGCAGCUCAAGGGCUUGGCAUGGGUCCCUGUUCGAUCCAUGGAAGAAUUUCAGGAGGUUUACUCAAUUUUUCGAAAUGGGUGUGCAGAGAGAAAAGUUGCACACACAGGCCUGAACGAUGUUUCAAGUAGGAGCCAUGCUGUGCUCUCCAUCCGGAUCAGUAAUGAUACUUUCAAAGGGAAAAUCUUAACCUCAUUGACUUGGCUGGUACGACUCCCUGUAAUGAGGUGCACAUAACCUAUAAAGGCUUCACAUUCCAGUUUAAGACCAUGCUGUGUUGCAUAUUCAUUUCAGGAAAUGAGGACAACAGGAGGACGUACAAUGAUUAGCAAAUUUACUCCAAGGUCUUAGUUUGUAGUAAUGUUAUUAUAUUUCCGUAGUUUAGGCUUUCCUCUGCACGGGUUCUGUCUUUUUUUUUACUUCAUAUAUGCCAACCUCCAGUUCUUGUUCUGGUACAACUUUCGGAGGAAAUGGUUCUGCUAUUGUUUACUUUGAUACCAUUAUGCAGUGCAUGGCUUCUUUGCCGUUUACUCCACUUUAUUCUUCUACAACAUCAGUUGUUGUUUCAGACUGAUAGUUCUCGGAGGCUGCGGUGGUGUUAGUGCUUCUGGCGAUGUACCGGUGAUCCUGUCGUCAUAUGCAUGGAUGAUAGUGCCCAACCUCAAGCUCCAGGUAGGUAACCCGACCCUUCCGCCUCUCCCCUGCGGCUUCCUUCUUCUACACCAACUAUAACUCCAUUUGUAUCUCUUGUGCUUGCUAUUCACUUGCGUUGAUUGCAUAAUUCACACACUGUACAUGAUUAUCUAGACAACUUUUGUAUGACUCUGUGGUAGAUUAUCUACAUAAAUUAGCAUUUACCUGAGUAGAAGCACA